RNAcentral lists this ribosomal RNA (154 nucleotides) under Rhizopus stolonifer. Its description in RNAcentral is "5.8S ribosomal RNA". It matches the Rfam family "5.8S ribosomal RNA". Rfam says of the family: 5.8S ribosomal RNA (5.8S rRNA) is a component of the large subunit of the eukaryotic ribosome. It is transcribed by RNA polymerase I as part of the 45S precursor that also contains 18S and 28S rRNA. The record is from RNAcentral. Lineage: Eukaryota; Fungi; Mucoromycota; Mucoromycetes; Mucorales; Rhizopodaceae.
AACUUUUAACAACGGAUCUCUUGGUUCUCGCAUCGAUGAAGAACGUAGCAAAGUGCGAUAACUAGUGUGAAUUGCAUAUUCAGUGAAUCAUCGAGUCUUUGAACGCAACUUGCACUCUAUGGUUUUCCGUAGAGUACGCUUGCUUCAGUAUCAU